Molecule: transfer RNA, 66 nt
Filed under: Fergusonina taylori (eucalypt gall-forming fly)
Lineage: Eukaryota; Metazoa; Arthropoda; Insecta; Diptera; Fergusoninidae
Description: tRNA-Glu
Source: RNAcentral
AUUUAUAUAGUUUAAAUAAAACAUUACUUUUUCAUUGUAAAAAUAAAAUAUUUUUUUUUAUAAAUU